ACUUCUCUCCAGGACGCAAGGUCUAUUAUCCCAACAGAAGAGAAAAUAUUUUUAUAUUUAAGGAUUAUGCUGCACUGUACUGCGAUACUGCAGUACCUUUUUUUUCUUUUUUUAAAGAAAUGGAAAAUGUUUACUAUGCCAGGGACCUCAGCACUGCCCUCCCGUGUAGGCUGUAUAAAACUGUUUUUAUGUCAGUGAUUUUAGACUGACUCCAUUUAAAUUAUGUUUGUAUAUGAACUUUACUCUGACCUGUGAUCAUGUUUCAGGAAGGAAUAAAAGAGAGGUCUUUUCUUAAUAAAGAAAAAUCACUCAAGGACUUUGUUCACUUUCCAAAGCUACUUGUUUACAUUGUACACUGCGACCACCUUGCCGCUCCCAUCACAAGCUUGAAUAUUUAAAUCCUGUACUUAAGUUUGUAAUAUAGCCGGGAAUUUCCUGUCUGUGAUUAUUAUUAUGCCUUUUUACAGAAGAAGAUGGCUGUAAAUUAUUGUAAAUGGAUUAAAUGAGCUGCCCUGCCCUGCCCUUCUCAGGCUUCUUUUGACUGUUCCUUUCCCUACCAACUCAGGCCUUCUUAUUAAAAAAAAAAAUCAGUGUAAUAACACUUUUUAAUGAUUUGUCUUGAUGGAAUCAUUGUUUAGAAUGUAAAAAUGGGGAAAGGGGCCACUUAUUUCUUUUAGUCCUUUUUAUAUUGAGUAUUUUUAUUAGAUACAUGUUUUGCCCCUCCUUUUUAAAGUCAAUAUUGUGUUUGUAGUUUUACAGAAGCAGUGGCGAGGGUUACAUGUGAGACAAACUCGGUGCUCUGGGAGAGUCCCCAGUGCAUUGGGUUGAAAGGGUGGUAGGUGUAUGAACACUUAAAAUCCAAACGGCCAAACGUUCUUGUAAAUGCAUUGCUUUUCCCUUUCAUGUGGGCAAUAAUGUCAAACGUGCUAUGCAGCCAGGUUAACAUUUGAGGUAAACUUGAUUGGCUUUAAUAUAAAAACUGUUACAGUACACACUGAUUGUAUAUAAAAACCUUAUAUAUGACAAAUUAAAUUUUAAGAAAAAGGAUAUGUGGGCUCCUGUAGUUUUCUGCUGCAUUCUUGUUUCCACGAGCAUUUAAUCUUUGCUUUAAGUAACAGCUGCCAGAAAGAAAGGUAUUUUGGUCAGCAACUGAGAACUGUUGAUAUGUAAUCCUAAAACUGCCUACGUCUGUAUAGAUGAAUCAGUCUUCUAUGAAGUAAAACAGAUUCUAGCAGUCUCGGCUUCCUGUAGACAUUCCUCUAGGAUGUCUUACUCGUCACCUCGUUUCUCCUUAUAUUCAGUGGGAAUUUUGGAUGUAUGUUGUGUAACCAUUAAUAACCUUUACUCCUGGUCAUGUCUCCAUGGAGUAGCUGUGGGGCUACCUAAAGUUAGUCUGUGGCUUUGUAUUUUCAUAUCUUUUUUUUUACAUGGAUAAAUAUAAAAUUUAUGCUGUGUAUACAAACAAACUUUUUUUUUUUAAAAGGAAUUUCAUCUUUGGCCUAAAGUUAUCCUGAAGCAAACAAUGUCUUUUUAUUUUUGAUAUGCAAGGUAAUGUGUUGGGGAAUAACUCAACUUUUAAACGUCUAGUUAUAAUUAAAGAUAAAAACGAUGAUAC
Molecule: long non-coding RNA, 1615 nt
Filed under: Mus musculus (house mouse)
Lineage: Eukaryota; Metazoa; Chordata; Mammalia; Rodentia; Muridae
Description: long non-coding RNA chr17:15770444-15772059
Source: RNAcentral